Molecule: ribosomal RNA, 526 nt
Filed under: uncultured bacterium
Lineage: Bacteria
Description: bacterial SSU rRNA
Rfam family: Bacterial small subunit ribosomal RNA
Source: RNAcentral
GUACAUCCAGAGAACUUAGCAGAGAUGCUUGUGGCCUUCGGGAACUCUGAGACAGGUGCUGCAUGGCUGUCGUCAGCUCGUGUUGUGAAAUGUUGGGUUAAGUCCCGCAACGAGCGCAACCCUUAUCCUUUGUUGCCAGCGGUUCGGCCGGGAACUCAAAGGAGACUGCCGGUGAUAAACCGGAGGAAGGUGGGGAUGACGUCAAGUCAUCAUGGCCCUUACGGCCAGGGCUACACACGUGCUACAAUGGCGCAUACAAAGAGAAGCGACCUCGCGAGAGCAAGCGGACCUCAUAAAGUGCGUCGUAGUCCGGAUUGGAGUCUGCAACUCGACUCCAUGAAGUCGGAAUCGCUAGUAAUCGUAGAUCAGAAUGCUACGGUGAAUACGUUCCCGGGCCUUGUACACACCGCCCGUCACACCAUGGGAGUGGGUUGCAAAAGAAGUAGGUAGCUUAACCUUCGGGAGGGCGCUUACCACUUUGUGAUUCAUGACUGGGGUGAAGUCGUAACAAGGUAAGCGUAGCGAG